RNAcentral lists this ribosomal RNA (708 nucleotides) under Bacillus tequilensis. Its description in RNAcentral is "bacterial SSU rRNA". It matches the Rfam family "Bacterial small subunit ribosomal RNA", at positions 104 to 797 of the family's 1533-position model. Lineage: Bacteria; Bacillati; Bacillota; Bacilli; Caryophanales; Bacillaceae. The record is from RNAcentral.
GGGUGAGUAACACGUGGGUAACCUGCCUGUAAGACUGGGAUAACUCCGGGAAACCGGGGCUAAUACCGGAUGGUUGUUUGAACCGCAUGGUUCAAACAUAAAAGGUGGCUUCGGCUACCACUUACAGAUGGACCCGCGGCGCAUUAGCUAGUUGGUGAGGUAACGGCUCACCAAGGCAACGAUGCGUAGCCGACCUGAGAGGGUGAUCGGCCACACUGGGACUGAGACACGGCCCAGACUCCUACGGGAGGCAGCAGUAGGGAAUCUUCCGCAAUGGACGAAAGUCUGACGGAGCAACGCCGCGUGAGUGAUGAAGGUUUUCGGAUCGUAAAGCUCUGUUGUUAGGGAAGAACAAGUACCGUUCGAAUAGGGCGGUACCUUGACGGUACCUAACCAGAAAGCCACGGCUAACUACGUGCCAGCAGCCGCGGUAAUACGUAGGUGGCAAGCGUUGUCCGGAAUUAUUGGGCGUAAAGGGCUCGCAGGCGGUUUCUUAAGUCUGAUGUGAAAGCCCCCGGCUCAACCGGGGAGGGUCAUUGGAAACUGGGGAACUUGAGUGCAGAAGAGGAGAGUGGAAUUCCACGUGUAGCGGUGAAAUGCGUAGAGAUGUGGAGGAACACCAGUGGCGAAGGCGACUCUCUGGUCUGUAACUGACGCUGAGGAGCGAAAGCGUGGGGAGCGAACAGGAUUAGAUACCCUGGUAGUCCA